This 345-nucleotide non-coding RNA is filed under the name Gammaproteobacteria bacterium RIFCSPHIGHO2_12_FULL_41_15. RNAcentral describes it as "bacterial SSU rRNA". It matches the Rfam family "Bacterial small subunit ribosomal RNA", at positions 1 to 342 of the family's 1533-position model. The record is from RNAcentral. Lineage: Bacteria; Pseudomonadati; Pseudomonadota; Gammaproteobacteria.
AAACUGAAGAGUUUGAUCCUGGCUCAGAUUGAACGCUGGCGGUAUGCUUAACACAUGCAAGUCGAACGGCAGCAUGGGGAGCUUGCUCCCUGAUGGCGAGUGGCGGACGGGUGAGUAACACGUAGGAAUCUACCUAGUAGCGGGGGAUAACCCGAGGAAACUCGGGCUAAUACCGCAUAAUCUCUUAGGAGCAAAGGGGGCCUCUUCUUGAAAGCUUCCACUAUUAGAUGAGCCUGCGUCGGAUUAGCUUGUUGGUGGGGUAAUGGCCUACCAAGGCGACGAUCCGUAGCUGGUCUGAGAGGAUGAUCAGCCACACUGGGACUGAGACACGGCCCAGACUCCUAC